CCCUUAGACGUUCUGGGCCGCACGCGCGCUACACUGACCAGUGCAACAAGCAUCCGUCCUUGGCCGACAGGCCCGGGCAAUCUUUGAACGCUGGUCGUGAUGGGGAUAGACUUUUGCAAUUUUUGGUCUUCAACGAGGAAUUCCUAGUAAACGCAAGUCAUCAACUUGCAUUGAUUACGUCCCUGCCCUUUGUACACACCGCCCGUCGCUUGUACCGAUUGGAUGGUCCGGUGAAAUCUUCGGAUAGCUGGUAGUUGGCUUGCCAUCUACUGCUAAAAGUUGCUUAAACCUUAUCAUCUAGAGGAACAAGAAGUCGUAACA
Molecule: ribosomal RNA, 321 nt
Filed under: uncultured eukaryote
Lineage: Eukaryota
Description: partial 18S ribosomal RNA
Rfam family: Eukaryotic small subunit ribosomal RNA
Source: RNAcentral